Molecule: long non-coding RNA, 953 nt
Filed under: Brachypodium distachyon (stiff brome)
Lineage: Eukaryota; Viridiplantae; Streptophyta; Magnoliopsida; Poales; Poaceae
Description: long non-coding RNA (BDIS_LNC004764)
Source: RNAcentral
CUUAACAGAGAACUACACGCAGAGGUUUCUCCUACAGGAUCCCUAGCAUAAGCACUCACCCAUAUAAACAUGCUAAAAAGACCGAGAGAAAAACUAAACUACUUCAUUUCACAAUAUAGAUUACAUACGGUUUUCCCUUUCGGGAACCCCCGAAGGGUUCACAAAGAUAAAGAAAUUACCUUACUACCUUCUCAGUCUUAUGUUACAAAUGCCUUGAUUAUCCAGGCUUUAUUACAGUGAAAAGUGGUGCUACUACUAUUAGAAAGCAGAUAGUUUUCUGGCUAGCUGCCCUGAACUACUUGCUGCUAUGAAGGCUUGUGUUAUGCUCGAUCGUUGUGUGUCCUCCAUGCAUGCAUGCAUGAAUUAUUCGGGCGGGGAGGACAUAAUACUGCAGCACUGAUACCCGAAUAAUCGAUAGAAUACAAUUUAAAUAAGAAUAUGAGUAAGAAUUGAAAAAUAAGGUGAAAAUAAAUAAAUAAAUAAAUAAAGAAUUAAAUAAAUAAAUAAUAAUUAAUUAAUAAUUAGUUAACUAUACAAUUAUAUAAGAUCCUUCAUAGCAUGUAAUAAUCAUAUAAGAUCCAUCAUUAGCAUGCAAGAUCACAAAUAGAAGAAAUCCUGUGAAUUGUGGUACGCAGAUGGAGAUAGUCAAGGAAGCACAAGAUAUGGCUACAUUUCAUCUGACAUAUUUGUUGCAGACAUCAUCAUGGAAGUAUAAGAAACUCCCUGUAUGAAGGAAGCCACGUACUAAUGCAGCCAAAGAUGAUAGUUGCAGCCAAAGAACCCCUUAUCACCAUGCAUGCAAGCAUCCAAAAGCUAUAAAAGAAGCCUAAAACCUAUAAAAGAGGUGCAUCACGGACAUGGAGAAAGGUGAGGUAAAUAAUGCAUGGGAGCACUAUUUGAGCUAGCCAUGGUGCCUAUAUAAGGAGCCUCUUUGCAGCAUUGGAGGACACACA